RNAcentral lists this ribosomal RNA (500 nucleotides) under uncultured archaeon. RNAcentral's name for it is "bacterial SSU rRNA". It matches the Rfam family "Archaeal small subunit ribosomal RNA", at positions 53 to 528 of the family's 1478-position model. The record is from RNAcentral.
GCUAGUCGUGCGCCUCCAGCCAUGGUGGAGGCGCGGCGCACAGCUCAGUAACACGUGGCUAACCUGCCCUUGGGACGGGGACAACCCCGGGAAACUGGGGCUAAUCCCCGAUAGGUGAGGACUCCUGGAAUGGGUCCUCGCCGAAAGGGCGUCUAGACCAUGCUUCUAGGCGUCGCCCAAGGAUGGGGCCGCGGCCGAUCAGGUUGUUGGUGAGGUAACGGCUCACCAAGCCUAAGACCGGUACGGGCCGUGGGAGCGGUAGCCCGGAGAUGGACACUGAGACAAGGGUCCAGGCCCUACGGGGCGCAGCAGUCGCGAAACCUCCGCAAUACGCGAAAGCGUGACGGGGCCAUCCCGAGUGCCGUCCGCUGAGGACGGCUUUUCCCCAGUGUAGACAGCUGGGGGAAUAAGGGGAGGGCAAGUCGGGUGUCAGCCGCCGCGGUAAUACCCGCUCCCCGAGUGGUGGGGACGCUUAUUGGGCUUAAAGCGUCCGUAGCCGG